UACGGAGGGUGCGAGCGUUGUCCGGAAUCACUGGGCGUAAAGCGCGUGUAGGCGGUUUUGCAAGUCGGGUGUGAAAGCCCUCAGCUCAACUGAGGAAGUGCGCCCGAAACUGCAGAUCUUGAGUACCGGAGAGGAUGGCGGAAUUCCCCAAGUAGAGGUGAAAUUCGUAGAUAUGGGGAGGAACACCGGUGGCGAAGGCGGCCAUCUGGACGGAUACUGACGCUGAGACGCGAAAGCGUGGGUAGCAAACAGG
This 253-nucleotide ribosomal RNA is filed under the name uncultured bacterium. RNAcentral's name for it is "partial 16S ribosomal RNA". It matches the Rfam family "Bacterial small subunit ribosomal RNA", at positions 524 to 776 of the family's 1533-position model. The record is from RNAcentral.